AUUGAACGCUGGCGGCAGGCCUAACACAUGCAAGUCGAACGAGUGGCGGACGGGUGAGUAAUGUCUGGGAAACUGCCUGAUGGAGGGGGAUAACUCCUGGAAACGGUAGUUAAUACCGCAUACCAUCGGAUGUGCCCAGAUGGGAUUAGCUUGUUGGUGGGGUAACGGCGCACCAACGCGACGAUCCCUAGCUGGUCUGAGAGGAUGACCAGCCACACUGGAACUGAGACACGGUACAGACUCCUACGUGCGGCAGCAGUGGGGAAUAUUGCACAAUGGGCGAAAGCCUUAUGCAGCCAUGCCGCGUGUAUGAAGAAGGCCUUCGGGUUGUAAAGUACUUUCAGCGGGGAGGCGUUACCCGCAGAAGAAGCGCCGGCUAACUCCGUGCCAGCAGCCGCGGUAAUAC
This 406-nucleotide ribosomal RNA is filed under the name uncultured bacterium. Its description in RNAcentral is "partial 16S ribosomal RNA". It matches the Rfam family "Bacterial small subunit ribosomal RNA", at positions 30 to 526 of the family's 1533-position model. The record is from RNAcentral.